GUUUCUCCACGUGGGUUACGUGUGUACGCCACCAGCAGACCACCAGCGCCUUUUAUAAUCGCACUCUACAGAAGAGUAUGAGCCUGGCUCACCUGGAGAAAGAGACACAUCAGGACACUGAUUACUCAGCCACCUUUAACUGAACACUAUUGGCUCGGAUAAAUCAGAGGCAGUCCGGCACUCUUUGAAAUCUCAUGCCAUGUUAACAAAAGAUAAACAGGGUCAUCGUGCACUU
Molecule: long non-coding RNA, 235 nt
Organism: Cyprinus carpio carpio
Lineage: Eukaryota; Metazoa; Chordata; Actinopteri; Cypriniformes; Cyprinidae
Source: Ensembl